Molecule: RNA transcript, 5084 nt
Organism: Brassica rapa (field mustard)
Lineage: Eukaryota; Viridiplantae; Streptophyta; Magnoliopsida; Brassicales; Brassicaceae
Gene name: ubiquitin
Source: RefSeq, a predicted model, not a curated record
GAAAGGGCAUAAAACCCGCCUCCUUCUGUUGAGCUAACUCGCGGAAAGAAAGAAGAGACGGAACAGAAAGAUGCAGAUCUUCGUGAAAACCCUAACCGGCAAGACCAUCACCCUCGAGGUCGAGUCCUCCGACACCAUCGACAAUGUCAAGGCCAAGAUCCAAGAAAAAGAAGGAAUCCCUCCGGAUCAGCAGAGGUUGAUCUUCGCCGGAAAGCAGCUCGAAGAUGGCCGUACUUUGGCUGACUACAACAUCCAGAAAUCAACUUUUAUCAAAUCUUUGUCCUAGUUAUUUACGUUUAUGUUGUGACUCUCUUGUCUGAAUAAAUAUCUGUUUACAGAGUCAACGCUUCAUCUUGUGUUGAGGCUUAGGGGAGGUAUCAUCGAGCCUUCUUUGAUGGCCUUGGCUCGUAAGUACAACCAGGACAAGAUGAUUUGCCGCAAAUGUACAGAAAUAUCACUUUUACAUGAGGGAUGAUGGAACUGAGAUCCUUCACUCAAAUCUCAGUAGUUUUGUUGAAGUGCAAAGCUAUAAGAACUCAGACGGUUAAAGGGCAGUUUCUGGUAGAACUUGGGAGGGAUGGUGAUAACCAGAUCUAUCCAAUUGAAUGGGGGAAAUGGUGAGAAAGAGAAUACAAAUAACUGAGAGUGGUUUGUGAAGAAGCUACAAGAAGACUUGGGUUUAGGUGAUGAAACAAGCUUUGUGAUGGUCUCAAAUCAGCAAAAGGUAAUGUUGGUUCUUUGUUAAUGCUUUAACCUUAUUUUUUUUCUUUUAAUUCCCAAUGUUAUUACUUGGAUGUUUGCUUUUGUAGAGAUUAAUCAGUGUUGUGAAGAGACAACUACUUGCUGCCGAAUAUAUGCAUUGUGUUAGACACAUUUAUGGUAAUAUCAAGUCAAUGUUCGGGAAGCUCAAUCCAAUGAAUAAGUUUGUUUGGGAUCUCGAUUGAAAAUUAAAAUAUAAGGGAUAAAUCGAGGUAAUAUGGAUAAAAAAAAAUUUUCUCGGCGACUGUUCUCAUGGCUGUAACCUUAGAGAAUCUGAGAGCUUAUGACAACAUAUUUUCCAGCCAACAGAAGAAAAAUGAAAGAGGAUUUCACAAGGUUGUUUGUCAUGGCGUUACUGAAUGACUUUAAAUCAGAAAAAUAAUAGAUGGCUGCUUACUUUUUGCAGAAAAGAAAUCUUGCAUAUUGAGAUAACCAUUUCUUUCGAACCGUUGAAAUUUUGGGAAAGAUCUCCAGAAUGGAUUUAACUUCGAAACUCUUCGAGGAAAACUAGUCAACUAUCUAAAGUCUUGUGGCUACAUACGACUGGAGGAUGUCGAGCUAUUGUCUUAUUUCGAGGUAGCCAUGACAGAUGAUGUAUUUUUCUCCUACGGAAUUAAUCAAAGAUAAAGAUACCGCCGACAAAGCAACAAUUGUGGGCACUGUGGACUGGUUUCACAAUUAUCUUGACAAGCACCACGAACCAACGACAAUGCUUGUGAUUUCCGGAGAUGUUGAUAUGAUUUAUACAAUAAGAGCAGUUAUAGCUCUCUUGGUUUUAAAGUGUUUCUUGUAAUGGAUAAGAAUAUUUGUUUUGUACUUUGACAGUUUGUUUCACAAUAGGAAAUUGAUGAUACAAUAUGUAGAGGGUCUGAGGAGAAUUUAUGUUAGAAGAAAGUGAUAUACAUUUUCUACGAUAUUUUGUGAUUAUUGAGUAAUAGCUUGGUAAUCAAUUGUGAAGAAAACUAAUUAUGUUUGCAGCAGUGCUAGUGCACUAAAGCACCAUGGAGGUUAAAUUAUAAUCUGUUGUGGUUUCUUUUAUCUUUUAGUUUUGACAAUCUAGUUUUUGGUUACAUUGUGAUAUGUUUAUGCGUAAUCAUAUACAAAUCUAUAUUGACAAAAGUAAAAAAAAAAAAAGAGAGUUCAAGUUAAUAAAAACCAAUAAAAAAUAAACUCAAACAUGUGUGAACCAAAAUUGAUUAAAAUUUGGUUCAAUUUAAAGUUAAAACAAAAUUAAAUUAAACUUAAGUUUCUCCAUUGAUAAUCAGUUUAAACUGAACUCCAUCAAAUCAAACUUUGGGUGACAGUACUUUAGACCAAACAAAAUCAGUAGUAAACUGAACUAACUCCAAAAAUUGAAGGUUUAUCUUGCAUUUCUUUAAUCACAUUUUAAUAUACAAUUUUUUUUUUCAUUUAGAGUAUUCUUUUUGAAAAAAAAAUCCGUAUUUUAUGAACAUCUAAGAGUGAAGAAUCACAUAGUGUUUUCCAAACCUCUUAAAAUCAUUGAGACCAAUUCCAUCAUCAAUCACCGAGACCGAUUCCUCCUAAAAUCUAAUCCAUUCAAUGUUGUAUCUUCUUGGAUUUUUUGCGUUGCACAAUAUUCGCUUCUCAUCACUAUCGUAUUACACCAUCAUCGCUUCUCAAAAUUUUGGUAAGUAAUCCUCUGAUUCGCUAUUUGUUUAAGUUGGUUUCCGAUGUAUUGAAUUUUAUACUAUUUCUCUUAAAGAUUGUUAUUGACAUGAUUUGGAUUUCAGUAUUAUGGUGAAACAUGAGAUAAGUAGAUUGAAUAUAUUUUCUAGCCUAGAGCAUGUAUGAUUUAAUGUCUUAGCUGAGAUUACGGUUUACAAAUAUGUAUGUUGUCAGCAGGAAAAGAAAAAAACGAGAGAAACGGGAUAUAGACUUUGUUGUUCCUUAUUUUUGAUAUGCUUAAAAACUUGAUUUUCAAGAGAGUGCAUUUGUGAAGAGAAUAAAUGGAAGAUAUUUUCGUUAAGUUUUUGGUGACUGCAUCUCUCAUGGAUUGCAAAUCAAAGAAGGAAGUUGCAAAAAUAUUUUGGGUGUGAAAUGAUGGAAGAGUUGAGAGGUUUAAGAUUAUACAUGAGUUUAAUAAGUUAGUUCUAAAGGAUGUAGAGGAAAAGCUUUUCCAAAAAAAAAAUUUCUUAAAGGCUUGUUGUAGAGAAGAAAAUGAGUAGUUUAUGAGUGGAGAAAGGUUUGAUGCGGAAUCGAGAAAUUGAGCCGAUAUUAUUGAGGUUUUGGGGUUGAAAGGUUUGUUAAGUGAAAUUUGGUUCUUUGGGUAUUUUGAAUCCGGCAAAAGUUUGAUGAGUUUUCACGAUGGUAUGAGAGCUCCGUGGAACAUAAGAAUUUCAGUUUACCAGAAUGAUUUGAUGUCCUUACUCUCUCCCCAAACCUACAAUACUUUCUGAAUGAUCAGGGUCACAAAGGAAAGUUAGAGAUCACAACUUAUUCAGAAAGAUUCAUAGAUAAAAUUUUAUUCUUUUGCUUAAUACUUAAUGGAAACAUAUUGCUUAUUUUGUGUGAUCAUGGUCUUUGAAAUUUGAUUUUUCAGUGAAAUUAGUAUUUAAACCUAUAGCAGAUAAAACUAUAAUUGCGGGCAUAAUCUACUGGGAUCAUGCUUACUUGGAUGAAAACCAUGAAGCUUGUACCAUGUUAAUUAUUUCAGGUGAUACAGAUGGUUAGAAAGCUAGGGUUCACUGUGAUUCUCGCAGGGCCUGAGGAUUCUAUCAUAGCAUAAAAAGUUGAAGAAAUUGUUUAUGCUACUUAUUGUUGGGAAAACAUGAUUUGGCUGCAUUCAAGAUGAAGUUGUUUGAGGUAAGCAUUGUUUCUUCUUUAUACGAAAUGUAUAGUUUUGAGGAGAAUUUAUGUUAGAAGUAAGUAAGUGGGGUAUGCAUUUGCUACAAUAUUUUGUGAUUAUUGAGUAAUAGUUUGGUAAUCAAUUGUGAGGAAAACUUAUUUUGUUUGCAGAACUAGUCCAUUGCUAGUGCAAUCUUUGUCUACAUCCGACUCAUAUUUUGUAUAACACUUGGAUCCUUUAGUACCCGAAGAUAAUAUGAUCCUUAAACCAUCAAACCUUAUAGAAAUCUAUUUUGACAAAAGUAAAAAUUAGCUCAAGUUAAUAAACACCAAUAUAAAAGUAAGCCCAACAUGUGUGAACCAAAUUUGAGAUAGAUUUGGUUCAAAUUAAAGUUAAACCAAAAAUAAAUUAAACUAAAGUCUCUCCAUUGAUAAUCAUUUUAAAACUGAAUGCCAUCAAAUCAAAAUUUGGGUGAUAAUACUUUAGACCAAACCAAAUCGGUAGUAAACCAAAGUUAAAUCCAAAAAUCAGAGGUUUAUCCUACCAUUUUCAAAGUGACAAUUUGAUAUUCAUAUUUUUUUUCAUUUAGAGGGUUCUUUUUGCAAAAAGAAAAAAAUGAAAUCCACUUUUUUUCUGAACACAUAAGAGUGAAGAUUCACACAGUGCUCGCCAAACCUCAUAAAAUCACAUAGACCGAUUUCUCCUAAAAUCUAAUCCUAUCAACACUGUAUCUUCUUGGAUUGUCCGUGUAACACUGUCAUAUUUGACCAUCAUCGCUUCUCAAAAUUUAGUAAAAAUUCUCUGAUUCGCUAUUUUUUUUAAGUUGGUUUGCGCUGUAUUGAAUUUUUAACUAUUUCUCUUCGAAAUUGUUAUUGACAUGAUUUUGGUUUCAGUUUUAUGGUGAAACAUGAGAUAAGUAGAUUGAGGAAAUUUUCUAGCCUAGAGAAUGUCUAAUUCAAUGCAUUUGUUGAGUUUACGGUUUACAAAUAUGUAUCUUCCCAGCAGGAAAAAGAUUAAAUAGAGAAAAUGGAUAUAAACUCUAUUUGAGGAUGAUUUUUGUUAGAAGUAAGUAAGUGGAGUAUACAUUUGAUAGAUAUUUUGUGAUUAUUGAAUAACAGUUCAGUAUGAAUUCUGUGGAAAAUUGAUUCUGUUUGCAGCAGUACUAGUAAUGUGAUAUUGGGUUCAUAUGUGAAGCUAUGGACAUGGAAGACAUUCAGAAAUUGACCCAAGAUAUUAGCUAAUAUGUCAAACCUAUUUUUAUCAAGUUACAAGACCAAGAAGAUUCAAAAUCAAAUGGUUUCUUUGCUGUCCAAAGAGAGUGACGAAAAUUAGGUGGUUAAUUGCAUGAAAAGCUUCUCUCUCCUCGAUGCAAAGAAUGCUUGUUUAAAGAACACUCUCUCUCAUCCAUGCACUAGUUUUAUCAUUUCCAAUGUAAUAACUAUCUAGCUUUGUGAGCAAGUUUAGUCUCUUAUAAAUAAGUUGUAAUCUCCAUUGAAAUAAAAUAAGUUUUGAGUGAUUA